CGUCAAAUCAGCACGGCCCUUACGUCUAGGGCGACACACGUGCUACAAUGGGCGGUACAGAGGGCAGCUACACCGCGAGGUGAUGCCAAUCUCAAAAGCCGUUCUCAGUUCGGAUCGGAGUCUGCAACCCGACUCCGUGAAGUUGGAUUCGCUAGUAAUCGCACAUCAGCCAUGGUGCGGUGAAUACGUUCCCGGGCCUU
Molecule: ribosomal RNA, 200 nt
Filed under: uncultured prokaryote
Description: partial 16S ribosomal RNA
Rfam family: Bacterial small subunit ribosomal RNA
Source: RNAcentral